ACAGUAGUCAACAAAAUCCUUUUUGAAGCACACAUACAUAAGUUUAAUGAUAAUUAUAAAUGUAGUCUCAACCCGAUGUCACUAUCAGAGCGGGAAUUCGCAAUUUAAUAGACAUUAACAACACAAAAUAUAAUAAAAGUCUUCAACAGAAGAUGGCUCUCGCCCCUCUGAUGGUACUAGUCAUCACCUGCAUCUUGCAACUCGUAUGCGUCCAUCGCAAACGCCAAACACAAACAACGAGUGGUGAGUUUCGAAAUUAUAUAACAGUAUAAGACAAACAAGGAGAACAAGCAAGUAGUCAAAACAACACAAAAAAAGAGAAAUAUUCAAGAACAUAAUAUCAAAGUUUAAUCUAAUUCAGUCGCAAUAAAACAAUUACAAGGAUGAAAUAUUAUGCAUGUCCUAUACUCUAUACUUCUUCAUCAUUUGGUACCAUUCUACUCUAAAAUACUUGGUUAUGAGGCCUGAUACUAUGCCACUACAAGAGUGGACGGACAAUUCAUGAAUGGUCAAGUCCUCAUAGAUCUCUCAACUCAACCCGAGACACAUAUACGCGAAGGUCGGGGUACUCUUGUGUUGCACGGUAGCUCUCAGCCUUAGGGAAUAACCCACUAACCCACUUAGGAAUUCCCCACUAGAGGUAUCCCCAAGGUCUAUCAGUCUUACCUUAUAGUUCGAUUGUAUCCCUCCACGAUCAGAUUCAUUCAGUUGUACUUCCCCGAAUCACUAGGUUUGUCAGACCCUCCCUAUAUGAUGACAAAAUAAUCCUAACUCCAAAAUCUACAAUACAUAUCUCACACUUACUCGAUCAUCACAACUCAAUAAGUUUCAAUUUGACUUCACAAUAUUCAUCAUUAUAUAUAUAUAAGUUAAUCACAAUAAAAUCUCAAUAUUUGGUUUACACUACUCACAAUCCACAAUAAAAUGCACUAUAAGUCAAACAAGAAGUUGGAACUAGAAGCUAAGGUAGAAAAAUGCAACACUAACCAAAAAAUUCAACACCAAAAAAAUGUAGCAAAGUUUUCAUCACGAUAUACUGCAUUUGAUCACGAUACACGAACAACUCUCCCUUCCUUUAUGUAACUUUUAUGCAUUAGGUCAUUUAAUAGAUUUCAAUUAUGCAAUUAGCUAAAGUCUAGCCUUGACUAUUUUUCAUGGAAAUGAUUUUAGCAAAAGCAAAGUCUACAUGCCAAAUAAACACUCCUUACUGCAAUGAGAAAUGAACUCUUUGGAAACCAAAUAGGUUUUUAACUUGCCAAAAAAAUAAUGAGUUGAAAUGCAACAACAUCCUCUCAUGUAUACAUAUAAUAAGAAAUUCAGGAACUUGUCAAUAUUAAAAUAAUAUGUAGAAACUAAGCACAAUCAACGCAAGAGUGGCCAAAGACAUACAGUUUCAUAAAAUCAAACAACAUGCAACCUUGAUGUAAAUAAAUUCACGGCAAUUCUAUAGGUUGCUAAAUUAUAUUUUAGUCAUCGCUACUACCAUUCAUAUAUUAUUAGUUAAUUAUUAUUACUCAAUCGGGCUAGUAAGCCCCGGAUGAAUAUCUGGGAAUUUCGGUAUUCCCAUUCAUCCCACGUUAUUUUAUACUCAUAAGAUCGAACUUCAUCUCACCCCUUACCUUGGCUGAAGAUUUUUUCCAACGAAGUCGAUCCGCUUAUUUAAUGUGUCGCGUCUUCGUCAACCAUCGUCUCUAAUAGUCUGCAAAUUAUAAAUAAAACAACACAACAACCAAAUACAGAUUAAUUAUUUGGUAUAAUAGGUAAAUAAAUUGUUUACUAUUUACAACACCCUUCCAAUAUAUAUAUUUAAUACUAUGUAUACUUAUAGUUAUAUCAAUAUAAACAAUAUCUAAAAAAAUAUAUAAUUAUAUAUUGCUAAAUACAUAUAGUUUAUGUAUAAUUUUGAUAUAACAGUAGUGUAAUAAUAUAUCAUAUGUAUUUUAAAUUAAAUAACAAGGCUAUUAGAUACAAUAAAAGUAGACUCUUUAUUAUUAAUAUAUAAACUGUAAAUGGUAGCGCAUGCACAUAUAUAAAUAUGGUAUGUGCUAUCUUCACAUUAAAAUAGGAAAAUUAUCGGAUUGUGUUUAUAAAAUAGAAAAUAUAUUUUCAAUAUUUAUAUAAAGGAGAAUUUAAACGCAUGACACUUCGAAUUUCCUAACAAAAAUUAUAUUGUAUAAGAUUUUAGCAUCAAUAGAUUUAGAUAUUCAAUUAAAUAUAUCAAAUUAAUUUCAACACAACGUAACAAUUCUACUACUUGUAAAAACACAGGGAACAAUUCUGCUACUUUAGAGACAGAGUUUACAAUUUUGUUUAAAACACAUGACUCUUCAGAUCAAAAUUUCAUUUUAUAUAUAGUUGAUAUUCAAACAGAAAAAAAAAAAUAUUAAUGUUAAUCAUGAUUGUGAAAAAUCAACUAAAACAGAAAAGGUGAUAAAUUAUAUGAUCAAAAAACAGAAUUCAAAUAACAAUGGCAUAGACAGUGGGUGUUCGCAAAUAAUUUAAAAAUGGCAAGAAACUAACCGGAGAAGAUGAAAGAUAUUGUAAAAAUGAUCGGUGUGCGGGACUGUAUCUAUGGCUGGCUUGUUGAAGGAAUUGGAAACCGAAUACUGAAAAGAAGGUUUGGUGCGGC
Molecule: long non-coding RNA, 2629 nt
Filed under: Cicer arietinum (chickpea)
Lineage: Eukaryota; Viridiplantae; Streptophyta; Magnoliopsida; Fabales; Fabaceae
Description: long non-coding RNA (CARI_LNC003207)
Source: RNAcentral